RNAcentral lists this ribosomal RNA (505 nucleotides) under uncultured bacterium. Its description in RNAcentral is "partial 16S ribosomal RNA". It matches the Rfam family "Bacterial small subunit ribosomal RNA", at positions 28 to 507 of the family's 1533-position model. The record is from RNAcentral.
GACGAACGCUGGCGGCGUGCCUAAUACAUGCAAGUCGAACGCACAGUUUAUACCGUAGCUUGCUACACCAUAGACUGUGAGUUGCGAACGGGUGAGUAACGCGUAGGUAACCUGCCUGGUAGCGGGGGAUAACUAUUGGAAACGAUAGCUAAUACCGCAUAAUAUUAAUUAUUGCAUGAUAAUUAAUUGAAAGGUGCAAUUGCACCACUACCAGAUGGACCUGCGUUGUAUUAGCUAGUAGGUGAGGUAACGGCUCACCUAGGCGACGAUACAUAGCCGACCGGAGAGGGUGAUCGGCCACACUGGGACUGAGACACGGCCCAGACUCCUACGGGAGGCAGCAGUAGGGAAUCUUCGGCAAUGGACGAAAGUCUGACCGAGCAACGCCGCGUGAGUGAAGAAGGUUUUCGGGUCGUAAAGCUCUGUUGUAAGAGAAGAACGGGUGUGAGAGUGGAAAGUUCACACUGUGACGGUAUCUGACCAGAAAGGGACGGCUAACUACGUG